Molecule: ribosomal RNA, 1505 nt
Filed under: metagenome
Description: bacterial LSU rRNA
Rfam family: Bacterial large subunit ribosomal RNA
Source: RNAcentral
AGUGAUCAGAAGUGAGAAUGUUGACAUGAGUAGCGACAAACAGGGUGAGAGACCCUGUCGCCGAAAGUCCAAGGGUUCCUGCUUAAAGCUAAUCUGAGCAGGGUAAGCCGGCCCCUAAGGCGAGGCCGAAAGGCGUAGUCGAUGGGAACCAGGUUAAUAUUCCUGGGCCAGGAGAUGGUGACGGAUCGCAGAGGUAGUUCUUCCUUAUCGGAUUGGAAGGGCUGCUGAGCGGUUCCUGGAAAUAGCCCUCCACAAGACCGUACCCUAAACCGACACAGGUGGACUGGUAGAGAAUACCAAGGCGCUUGAGAGAACCACAUCUAAGGAACUCGGCAAAAUACCUCCGUAAGUUCGCGAGAAGGAGGCCCCGUUUGUACGCAAGUAUGGGCGGGGGGCACAAACCAGGGGGUGGCGACUGUUUACUAAAAGCGCAGGGCUCUGCGAAGCCGUAAGGCGACGUAUAGGGUCUGACGCCUGCCCGGUGCCGGAAGGUUAAAAGGAGAUGUGCAAGCAUUGAAUUGAAGCCCCGGUAAACGGCGGCCGUAACUAUAACGGUCCUAAGGUAGCGAAAUUCCUUGUCGGGUAAGUUCCGACCUGCACGAAUGGCGUAACGACUUCCCCGCUGUCUCAAAUGUGGACUCAGCGAAAUUGAAUUGUCUGUGAAGAUGCAGACUUCCCGCGGUUAGACGGAAAGACCCCAUGCACCUUUACUAUAGCUUCGCACUGGCAUCAGGAUUGUGAUGUGCAGGAUAGGUGGUAGGCAUUGAAACCGGGACGCCAGUUCCGGUGGAGCCAUCCUUGAGAUACCACCCUUCGCACUCUUGAUGUCUAACCGCGGCCCGUUAUCCGGGUCCGGGACCCUGCGUGGUGGGUAGUUUGACUGGGGCGGUCGCCUCCCAAAAAGUAACGGAGGCGCGCGAAGGUUGGCUCAGAGCGGUCGGAAAUCGCUCGUUGAGUGCAAUGGCAGAAGCCAGCCUGACUGCAAGACUGACAAGUCGAGCAGAGACGAAAGUCGGCCAUAGUGAUCCGGUGGUCCCGAGUGGAAGGGCCAUCGCUCAACGGAUAAAAGGUACGCUGGGGAUAACAGGCUGAUGAUGCCCAAGAGUCCAUAUCGACGGCAUCGUUUGGCACCUCGAUGUCGGCUCAUCUCAUCCUGGGGCUGGAGCAGGUCCCAAGGGUACGGCUGUUCGCCGUUUAAAGAGGUACGUGAGCUGGGUUUAGAACGUCGUGAGACAGUUCGGUCCCUAUCUGCCGUGGGUGUAGGAUACUUGAGAGGAGUUGCCCCUAGUACGAGAGGACCGGGGUGAACGUUCCACUGGUGGACCAGUUGUCGUGCCAACGGCAGUGCUGGGUAGCUAUGAACGGACAGGAUAAACGCUGAAGGCAUCUAAGCGUGAAGCCCCCCUCAAAACAAGGUAUCCCUUAAGAGCCGUGGAAGACCACCACGUCGAUAGGCCGGAGAUGUAAGUGCAGCAAUGCAUUCAGUUGACCGGUACUAAUGGCUC